GUUCAAUCAUUUUUUUUUUUUUUUUUUUUACAAGGUGUCCUAUUCUAGACUAAUCCUUGGGUCUGUGAUCCGGCCCCUCUUCACACAGUCCGGUUAAUCGCAGGAUGUGCCUCCAACUGGCCAGGGUCUGAGCGCUCCCCACCUGGUCUGACAAAGUGCCAAGCAAGCCAAUCCAAGUUGCACCUUGCCUUCCAAGAAUAAUCCUUGCCUUCCAAGUUCCCACUUGCCUUCCAAAUGUUCCCUUGCCUUCCAAGAAUAAAUCCUUGCCUUCCAAGAGCCCCAUGUUUCGAACUCACGACCUCUGCUCUGCCAGGUUUGACAACGUCCGUCCUUUGCCAGUGGAGAAGUGCCC
Molecule: long non-coding RNA, 352 nt
Filed under: Olea europaea subsp. europaea
Lineage: Eukaryota; Viridiplantae; Streptophyta; Magnoliopsida; Lamiales; Oleaceae
Source: RNAcentral